UACGAAGGGGGCUAGCGUUGCUCGGAAUCACUGGGCGUAAAGGGUGCGUAGGCGGGUUUUUAAGUGAGUUGUGAAAUCCUGGAGCUCAACUCCAGAACUGCCUUUGAUACUGAGGAUCUUGAGUUCGGGAGAGGUGAGUGGAACUGCGAGUGUAGAGGUGAAAUUCGUAGAUAUUCGCAAGAACACCAGUGGCGAAGGCGGCUCACUGGCCCGAUACUGACGCUGAGGCACGAAAGCGUGGGGAGCAAACAGG
RNAcentral lists this ribosomal RNA (253 nucleotides) under uncultured bacterium. RNAcentral's name for it is "partial 16S ribosomal RNA". It matches the Rfam family "Bacterial small subunit ribosomal RNA", at positions 524 to 776 of the family's 1533-position model. The record is from RNAcentral.